GCAUUGCAGCAAAGGGCACCGGCGGCGGCGGCCGCGGCUGCGGAGGCGGCCGGGGGAGAGAAGAGCCCGGGCGGGUGGGAGUAGGGGCCCUCCCUCCCCAGCCGGACGCAGGACCUGGGGCUGGGGACCCCGCACGUACACCUGUGGCCGCAGCAGCCAAACUACUGGAGUUUCAAGACCCGCAGCUCACGCCACACUCAGGGAGCCCAGCCCGGGCUGGCAGACCAGGCGGCAAAGCUGUCCUACGCCUCCGCCGAGUCGCUGGAGACCAUGUCGGAGGCCGAGCUGCCCCUGGGCUUCAGCAGGAUGAACCGCUUCCGACAGAGCCUGCCUCUCUCCCGCUCGGCCAGCCAGACCAAGCUGCGCUCCCCAGGGGUGCUGUUCCUGCAGUUCGGGGAGGAGACUCGGCGCGUGCACAUCACGCACGAGGUCAGCAGCCUGGACACGCUGCACGCACUCAUCGCGCACAUGUUCCCGCAGAAGCUCACCAUGGGCAUGCUUAAGUCGCCCAAUACCGCCAUCCUCAUCAAAGACGAGGCUCGCAACGUCUUCUACGAGCUGGAGGACGUCCGGGACAUCCAGGACCGCAGUAUUAUCAAGAUCUACAGAAAGGAGCCCCUCUACGCUGCCUUCCCUGGCUCACAUCUCACCAACGGGGACCUCCGGAGAGAGAUGGUGUACGCAUCGCGGGAGUCCUCGCCCACGCGGCGCCUCAACAACCUGUCACCAGCGCCGCACCUGGCAUCCGGCUCGCCGCCGCCCGGGCUGCCGUCGGGGCUGCCGUCCGGGCUGCAGUCCGGUUCGCCGUCGCGUUCGCGCCUAUCGUACGCCGGGGGGCGCCCGCCUUCGUACGCCGGCAGCCCGGUGCACCACGCGGCCGAGAGGCUGGGAGGCGCCCCGGCCGCCCAGGGCGUCAGCCCCAGCCCCAGCGCCAUCCUGGAGCGGCGCGACGUGAAGCCGGACGAGGACCUGGCGAGCAAGGCGGGCGGCAUGGUGCUGGUGAAAGGCGAGGGCCUCUAUGCUGACCCCUACGGGCUGCUGCACGAGGGCCGUCUGAGCCUGGCCGCGGCCGCCGGCGACCCGUUCGCCUACCCGGGCGCCGGCGGCCUCUACAAGCGCGGCUCGGUGCGCUCGCUCAGCACCUACUCGGCCGCCGCGCUGCAGUCCGAUCUGGAGGACUCCCUGUACAAGGCGGCGGGCGGCGGCGGCCCGCUGUACGGCGACGGCUACGGCUUCCGCCUGCCGCCUUCGUCACCGCAGAAGCUGGCCGACGUGGCAGCACCCCCCGGAGGUCCCCCGCCACCGCACAGCCCCUACUCGGGGCCGCCCAGCCGCGGCUCGCCAGUGCGCCAGUCCUUCCGCAAGGACUCGGGCUCCUCGUCCGUCUUUGCCGAGAGUCCUGGAGGGAAGACCCGCAGCGCGGGGAGCGCCUCGACGGCCGGAGCUCCCCCUUCGGAGCUCUUCCCUGGGCCUGGGGAACGCUCGCUGGUUGGGUUCGGGCCGCCAGUGCCAGCCAAGGACACGGAGACCAGGGAGCGCAUGGAGGCCAUGGAGAAGCAGAUUGCCAGCCUCACAGGCCUGGUGCAGAGCGCCUUACUGCGAGGCUCUGAGCCUGAGACCCCCAGCGAGAAGAUUGAAGGCUCCAAUGGAGCAGCCACCCCCUCAGCACCCUGUGGGUCAGGCGGCCGGAGCAGCGGGGCCACCCCGGUGUCCGGCCCGCCCCCGCCCUCGGCCAGCAGCACCCCCGCAGGUCAGCCUACCGCCGUUAGCCGGCUGCAGAUGCAGCUUCACCUGCGAGGCCUGCAGAACAGCGCCAGUGACUUGCGCGGCCAGCUCCAGCAGUUGCGCAAGCUCCAGCUACAGAACCAGGAGUCGGUGCGCGCGCUGCUGAAGCGCACGGAGGCAGAGCUGAGCAUGCGCGUGUCGGAGGCGGCGCGGCGGCAGGAGGACCCGCUGCAGCGGCAGCGCACCCUGGUGGAAGAGGAACGGCUGCGCUAUCUCAACGACGAGGAGCUUAUUACCCAGCAGCUCAAUGACCUGGAGAAAUCGGUGGAGAAGAUCCAGAGAGACGUGUCCCACAACCACCGGCUGGUGCCCGGCCCUGAGCUGGAGGAGAAGGCACUGGUGCUGAAGCAGCUCGGGGAGACGCUGACAGAGCUCAAGGCUCACUUCCCGGGCCUGCAGAGCAAGAUGCGGGUGGUGCUGCGCGUGGAGGUGGAGGCGGUGAAGUUCCUGAAGGAGGAGCCCCAGCGCCUGGAUGGGCUCCUCAAGCGCUGCCGCGGGGUCACGGACACGCUGGCCCAGAUCCGAAGGCAAGUGGAUGAGGGUGUGUGGCCACCCCCCAACAAUCUCCUGAGUCAGUCCCCCAAGAAGGUGACGGCAGAGACUGACUUCAACAAGAGCGUGGACUUCGAAAUGCCACCCCCCAGCCCCCCGCUGAACCUGCAUGAGCUGAGCGGGCCAGCUGAAGGAGCCUCUCUUACCCCCAAGGGGGGCAACCCCACCAAAGGCCUGGACACUCCUGGCAAGAGAAGCGUGGACAAAGCUGUGUCUGUUGAGGCUGCAGAGCGAGACUGGGAGGAGAAGCGGGCAGCCCUGACCCAGUACAGUGCCAAGGACAUCAACCGGCUGCUGGAAGAGACACAGGCAGAGCUGCUCAAGGCCAUCCCUGACCUGGACUGUGCCAGCAAGGCCCAUCCAGGCCCGGCCCCCACUCCAGAUCACAAGCCCCCCAAGGCCCCCCACGGCCAGAAGGCAGCCCCCCGAACGGAGCCCAGUGGGAGGAGGGGCUCAGAUGAGUUGACCGUGCCCCGAUACCGCACAGAGAAGCCCUCCAAGUCGCCCCCACCGCCCCCUCCCCGCCGGAGCUUCCCCUCCUCCCAUGGCCUGACCACCACACGUACCGGAGAGGUGGUGGUCACCAGCAAGAAGGACUCGGCCUUCAUCAAGAAGGCUGAGUCCGAGGAGCUGGAGGUGCAGAAGCCCCAGGUGAAGCUGCGCCGGGCUGUGUCUGAGGUGGCCCGCCCAGCCUCCACACCACCCAUCAUGGCCUCGGCCAUCAAGGACGAGGAUGACGAGGAUCGCAUCAUCGCAGAGCUAGAGGUGUUUGAGAGAAGCUCAGUGUCUUCCCUCCCCCCCACGCCCCGCCGCCAGCUGAUCCCCACCUUGCUGUCCCCCCAGGACCUGGGGCCCCCCGGGGGCUCAGCCCCAGGCCCUACACGGAAGAGUGGCGGAGGCAGUGUACCACCCAUGAAGGUGGUGACUCCGGGGGCCUCUCGGCUGAAGGCGGCCCAGGGCCAGGCGGGCAGCCCCGACAAAAGCAAACAUGGCAAGCAGAGGGCCGAGUACAUGCGGAUCCAGGCCCAGCAGCAGGUCUAAUGAGCAGGCGCGGAGGCUGUGUGGAGAGUGGACAUACCUCACCUGUGGGUGUUUACUGCCCUUGUGGCCUGGUCAGAGGCUGCAGGGUGGCUCCUGGACCCAGAUGUUGUGAGAGACCCUUAGUGCACUCGUUUGAUUUAGUUAAUAUUUAUGAGCAGCUCCUGUAUGACAGGCCCAUUCUGGGUGUGAGGGUGGGGGCUGUGAUAUGUCCAGAUGCUCUCACUUAAAGAAGGUUCUAGACUCAGAGGCAAGACGUUAGAGAAGGUUCUAGACUCAGAGGCAAGAGGUUAGAGAUGGGUGAGUCCAUCUCUUUUUCAGAUGAGGGGGCAGCUCAGAGGAGGAGAGGGGCUUCCCAAAGGUGCACAGCAAGGUGGCAUCACAGCCAGGAUCGGGACCUAGGAAUCUUGGAACCCUUCCCUGCACUGGCCCUGGGACAGCCCUGGGCACCCAAGGCCCUGCCUCCCUACUGGCUCCCAGGAGAAUUUCUCAAAAAGCAGCCCUCCAGCCCCCCGCAGCCUCUCCACAGCUCCCACCUGCCUCCUCAUGGCCCCCAGACACCCUGCGAGCCCCACCUCCAGAUCUUUUUCCUGCCACUGCCAGGGAUGAGUUCCCCUUGUCCUGUCCGGGCUGGACCCUCCUGGGUGCCCAGCAGAGCAGCUGACACUGACAGAGCUUUCGCUGGGGCCAGGCAUGCGCAUUAUCUCAUCUCACACUCACCACACUGAGGAAGGUCUAUUACCCCCAUGUGACGGGGGCGGAAACUGAGGCUUAAUCCAAGGCCACACGGCUAGCAAGUGGGGGGCAGGACACAAGUCCAGACUGCCUCCCUCCCCACCACAAAGUGCUUCAGCCUCUCCAGCAGCCCCUUCCCUCAGCUCUAAUGAUGUUGCACUGUUUCCCACCCUAGUCCCUCCCUCCCCAGAGCCCAGCUCCUCCGCUGUGGUGUCAGCCUCAUGCCUUUAUGGCCCAGCCUCCACCCCAUCUCCGGGGUUGCCUGGGUCUCCAGUGACAUCGAGAUGGGCUCUUUUCACCCCCCUCCCCCACUGCUCUGCAGCAUGUGGCCUUGUAGACCCCCCCCACACCUGCAUAGGGCUGUGCAGACCCUCUGUUCCUCAGCAUCCUCUCCCCAGCCUCCACCUGGAGCCUCUGGGCUCCUUUCUGGGUGACUCCCUCUAUUUUUUGAGACGGAGUCUUGCUCUGUCUCCCAGGCUGGAGUCCAGUGGUGUGAUCUCAGCUCACUGCAGCCUCCGCCUCCUGGGUUCAAGUGAUUCUCGUGCCUCAGCCUCCCGAGCAGCUGAGACUACAGGCUAAUUACCACACUGGCUAAUUUUUGUAUUUUUAGUAGAGACGGGGUUUCACCAUGUUGGCCAGGCUGGUCUCAAACUCCUGAGCUCAGGUGAUCCUCCCACCUCAGCCUCCCAAAGUGCUGGGAUUACAGGCGUGAGCCAUUGCACCCUGCCUGGGCGACUCUCCUUUGCCUGCCUCUUCCCUUCCUGUGCCCCACUCCUCAGCCUCUUCUCCUCACACCAUGCCUUCCUCUCCUCAGGCACCAGGUGCACUGCUUAGUCCCUGCCCCCACCCAGGUCUCCAUUCUGAGCUCCAGUCACCCACACACGCUUCCCCGGGCAUCCCCAGGCUCCUCGAAUGCGUGUGUCCAGACAUAAUGCUCCCCCGACCACGCUGCCCCAGCCGGUACGAGGCUGCCCCAGCUGCUGUCUCCCUCAGGAAGGGUCGCCCACCCCCAGCCUUCCCAAGCCCCUCCGUGCCCCUGUCUCACUUCCAGUGCUCCAGUAGCCUUUCUUAUAAACAUGGCUUCUUUCUUGUAAAGUAAUAAAUGUUUACAGUGG
RNAcentral lists this unclassified non-coding RNA (5225 nucleotides) under Homo sapiens (human). RNAcentral describes it as "SRC kinase signaling inhibitor 1 (ENSG00000273608.4)". Lineage: Eukaryota; Metazoa; Chordata; Mammalia; Primates; Hominidae. The record is from RNAcentral.